RNAcentral lists this ribosomal RNA (465 nucleotides) under uncultured bacterium. RNAcentral's name for it is "partial 16S ribosomal RNA". It matches the Rfam family "Bacterial small subunit ribosomal RNA", at positions 28 to 507 of the family's 1533-position model. The record is from RNAcentral.
GACGAACGCUGGCGGCGUGCUUAACACAUGCAAGUCGAACGGAAAGGCCCUGCUUGCAGGGUCCUCGAGUGGCGAACGGGUGAGUAACACUUGGGUGAUCUGCCCUGCACUUCGGGAUAAGCCUGGGAAACUGGGUCUAAUACCGGAUAGGAUCCCUUUUUAGUGUGAUGGUUGGAAAGUUUUUUCGGUGUAGGAUGAGCUCGCGGCCUAUCAGCUUGUUGGUGGGGUGAUGGCCUACCAAGGCGGCGACGGGUAGCCGGCCUGAGAGGGUGGACGGCCACAUUGGGACUGAGAUACGGCCCAGACUCCUACGGGAGGCAGCAGUGGGGAAUAUUGCACAAUGGGCGCAAGCCUGAUGCAGCGACGCCGCGUGGGGGAUGACGGCCUUCGGGUUGUAAACUCCUUUCGCUAGGGACGAAGCUUUUUGUGACGGUACCUAGAUAAGAAGCACCGGCUAACUACGUG